CUAUACAUGCAAGUCGAGCGAACUGAUUAGAAGCUUGCUUCUAUGACGUUAGCGGCGGACGGGUGAGUAACACGUGGGCAACCUGCCUGUAAGACUGGGAUAACUCCGGGAAACCGGAGCUAAUACCGGAUAACAUUUUCUCUUGCAUAAGAGAAAAUUGAAAGAUGGUUUCGGCUAUCACUUACAGAUGGGCCCGCGGUGCAUUAGCUAGUUGGUGAGGUAACGGCUCACCAAGGCAACGAUGCAUAGCCGACCUGAGAGGGUGAUCGGCCACACUGGGACUGAGACACGGCCCAGACUCCUACGGGAGGCAGCAGUAGGGAAUCUUCCGCAAUGGACGAAAGUCUGACGGAGCAACGCCGCGUGAGUGAUGAAGGCUUUCGGGUCGUAAAACUCUGUUGUUAGGGAAGAACAAGUACAAGAGUAACUGCUUGUACCUUGACGGUACCUAACCAGAAAGCCACGGCUAACUACGUGCCAGCAGCGGCGGGUAAUAAA
RNAcentral lists this ribosomal RNA (498 nucleotides) under Priestia flexa. Its description in RNAcentral is "bacterial SSU rRNA". It matches the Rfam family "Bacterial small subunit ribosomal RNA", at positions 49 to 527 of the family's 1533-position model. Lineage: Bacteria; Bacillati; Bacillota; Bacilli; Caryophanales; Bacillaceae. The record is from RNAcentral.